Molecule: ribosomal RNA, 467 nt
Filed under: uncultured bacterium
Lineage: Bacteria
Description: partial 16S ribosomal RNA
Rfam family: Bacterial small subunit ribosomal RNA
Source: RNAcentral
GAUGAACGCUGACAGAAUGCUUAACACAUGCAAGUCUACUUGAAUUUGGGUUUUUUAACUUAGAUUUGGGUGGCGGACGGGUGAGUAACGCGUAAAGAACUUGCCUCACAGCUAGGGACAACAUUUGGAAACGAAUGCUAAUACCUGAUAUUAUGAUUAUAAGGCAUCUUAGAAUUAUGAAAGCUAUAUGCGCUGUGAGAGAGCUUUGCGUCCCAUUAGCUAGUUGGAGAGGUAACGGCUCACCAAGGCGAUGAUGGGUAGCCGGCCUGAGAGGGUGAACGGCCACAAGGGGACUGAGACACGGCCCUUACUCCUACGGGAGGCAGCAGUGGGGAAUAUUGGACAAUGGACCAAGAGUCUGAUCCAGCAAUUCUGUGUGCACGAUGACGUUUUUCGGAAUGUAAAGUGCUUUCAGUUGGGAAGAAAAAAAUGACGAUACCAACAGAAGAAGUGACGGCUAAAUACGU